This is a non-coding RNA of Otolemur garnettii (small-eared galago), 414 nucleotides long. The record is from the annotation of a RefSeq genome assembly. NCBI's taxonomy places the organism in Eukaryota, Metazoa, Chordata, Mammalia, Primates, Galagidae.
AUGAGCAUCGGCCUCCUGUGCUGUGCGGCCUUUUGCCUCCUGUGGGCAGGGUUGGUGAAUGCUGGUGUCACCCAGUCCCCCAAAUCCCAGAUCCUGGUGACAGGACAGAACGUGACACUGAAAUGUGCCCAGAAUAUGAACCAUAACAGAAUGUACUGGUAUCGACAAGAUCCUGGGCUGGGACUGAGGCUGAUCUAUUACUCUGUUGGUAUUAAGGUCAUUGACAAAGGAGAAGUCUCUGAUGGCUACAGUGUGUCUAGAUCAGAGGUAGGGUCCUUCCCCCUCACUCUGGACUCUGCCACCCCCUCCCAGACAUCUGUGUACUUCUGUGCCAGCAGUGAUGCACAGCGCUGCACAGCUGCCUCUUCUCUGCACAGAAAGUCAGGGCAGGCUCUGCUCCCCAGAGCUCAGUGA